This 253-nucleotide ribosomal RNA is filed under the name uncultured bacterium. RNAcentral describes it as "partial 16S ribosomal RNA". It matches the Rfam family "Bacterial small subunit ribosomal RNA", at positions 524 to 776 of the family's 1533-position model. The record is from RNAcentral.
UACGUAGGGGGCUAGCGUUGUCCGGAAUCAUUGGGCGUAAAGAGCGCGUAGGCGGCUAGAUAAGUCCGGUGUGAAAGUCACAGGCUCAACCUGUGAAUGCCGCUGGAAACUGUCUGGCUAGAGUCCGGAAGGGGCGAGUGGAAUUCCUGGUGUAGCGGUGAAAUGCGCAGAUAUCAGGAGGAACACCAAUGGCGAAGGCAGCUCGCUGGGACGGUACUGACGCUGAGGAGCGAAAGCGUGGGGAGCGAACAGG